AUCUGUUCUCCCCAACACUCACUCUCAUGCGGUUCCUGCAACCACCAGAAGGGCGGAUUACCCUCAAUUAAACCCCCUGUCACCAUUCCCAAGCUUCCUGUUCCUCCGGUUACUGUUCCUAAGGUACCCGUUCCUCCAGUAACUGUCCCUAAUCUACCCGUUCCUCCUGUAACUGUUCCAAAGCUACCUAUUCCUCCGGUGACCGUACCUAAACUUCCAGUUACCGUACCUAAACUCCCAGUUCCUCCGGUGACAGUCCCUAAGCUACCCAUUCCGCCAGUGGCCAUUCCAAAGGUACCCGUUCCUCCAGUUACUGUCCCAAAGGUACCUGUUCCUCCUGUGACUGUCCCUGAGCUUCCACUUCCUCCAGUGGGCGGGCUACCCACAUUGCCACUACCACCAUUACCAGGGACUAUCCCACCAGCCACAGGAGGGAAGGAUUGUCCUCCAACCCCGGGUAGCGAGAUGCCCCCAUCAGGCAGUGGGAAGGCCACAUGUCCAAUAGACACGCUUAAGUUGGGGGCGUGUGUGGACUUGUUGGGAGGUUUAGUAAAGAUAGGACUUGGAGACCCUGCAGUUAACAAAUGCUGUCCGUUACUUAAAGGCCUCGUUGAAGUUGAAGCAGCCGCCUGUCUCUGCACUACACUCAAGCUUAAAGCUCUUAACCUUAAGCUUUAUGUCCCUGUUGCUCUUCAGCUUCUUCUUACCUGCGGUAAAAAUCCACCUCCGGGGUACACUUGUUCCAUCUGAUAAAUUCUCUCCAGCUAAAGGGUAUGCUAUUUUCCCUUUCAUUUCAAUUAACACUUGAUUCUUCCUUAAGAAACUUAGUAUAGAUUAUUUGAAUUAACACUUAAUUAUAUAUGACGUUAACUUGUUUUUGCCAAAUAGAUUAAAAAUUAUAUACAUGUGAUUUUUUUCAUUGGUCAAAAUUAUAUUGCAAAUAUAGAUGUUCGAUUAAUGCCCAAUACAAAUGUCUGACUAUAAGUACUAUUGUUUGGAGCUCCUAUCAAUUUUUGUAAAAGUAAUACUUAAUACUUAUACAAAAGUAUUAUUGUUUGGAGCUCCGCCAUUCCAUCACUGAAGUUUAUUUUAUUUUUGGUUUGCAGAUAG
RNAcentral lists this long non-coding RNA (1110 nucleotides) under Eutrema salsugineum. RNAcentral describes it as "long non-coding RNA (ESAL_LNC001873)". The record is from RNAcentral. Lineage: Eukaryota; Viridiplantae; Streptophyta; Magnoliopsida; Brassicales; Brassicaceae.